CGUCACAGCUGCACGCUAUUAACGUACAACCUUUCUUCCCAAUUGAAAGUGCUUUACAACCCUAAGGCCUUCUUCACACACGCGGCAUGGCUGCGUCAGGCUUUCGCCCAUUGCGCAAUAUUCCCCA
RNAcentral lists this ribosomal RNA (127 nucleotides) under uncultured bacterium. Its description in RNAcentral is "partial 16S ribosomal RNA". The record is from RNAcentral.